GUAACAGAGAGUUUGAUCAUGGCUCAGAUUGAAUGCUGGCGGGAUGCUUUACACAUGCAAGUCGAACGGCAGCACGGACUUCGGUCUGGUGGCGAGUGGCGAACGGGUGAGUAAUGUAUCGGAACGUGCCCAGUAGCGGGGAUAACUACGCGAAAGGGCAGAAGCACACGUGCAGCGCUGCCUCGGGGGAAAAGUAAAGGGACUGGGCCUCUUGGCCUAUUAGAGCGGCCGAUAUCGGAUUAGCUGUAGUUAUGGGGUAACGGCUCACCACAGGCGACGAUCCGUAGCUGGUUUGAGAGGACGACCAGCCACACUGGGACCGAGACACGGCCCAGACUCUACGGAGGCAGCAUGGGGAAUUUUUGGACAAUGGGGGAAACCCCAUCCGCGCCAUCCCGCGUGUGCGAAGGGAAGGCCUUCGGGGUUGUAAAGCGAAUUUUUGGCAGGAAAGAAACGGCACGGAUAAUACCCCGCGCAACUGACGGUACCUGCAGAAUAAUAUAACUGCAUAACCACGCCAGCAGCCGCGGUAAUACGUAGGGUGCAAGCGUUAAUCGGAAUUACUGGGCGUAAAGCGUGCGCAGGCGGUUCGGAAAGAAAGAUGUGAAAUCCUCAGAGCUUAACUUUGGAACUGCAUUUUGAACUACCGCAGCCAGAGUGUGUCAGAGAGCGUGAAUUCCGCGUGUAGCAGUGAAAUGCGUAGAUAUGCGGAGGAACACCGAUGGCGAAGGCAGCCUCUGGGAUAACACUGACGCUCAUGCAACGAAAGCGUGGGGAGCAAAACAGGAUUAGACAAUUCUGGUAGUCCACGCCCUAAACGAUGUCAACUAUUGUUGGGGCCUUCGGGCCUUGGUAGCGCAGCUAACGCGUGAAGUUGGACCGCCCGGGGAGUACGGUCGCAUGAUUAAAACUCAAAGGAAUUGACGGGGACCCGCACAAGCGGUGGAUGAUGAUUAAUUCGAGGCAAUCGCCAGAAAACCUUACCUACCUCUUGACAUGUCUGGAAUCCCGAAGAGAUUUGGAGUGCCCGCAAGAGAACCGGAACACAGGUGCUGCAUGGCUGUCGCUGGGCUGGUGUCGAGAUGUUGGGUUAAGUCCCGCAACGAGCGCAACCCUUGUCAUUAUUGCUACGAAAGGGCACCUGGGAUGAGACUGCCGGUGACAAACCCGGAGGAAGGUGGGGACAGACGUCAAGUCCUCAUGGCUCCUUAUGGGUAGGGCUUCACACGUCAUACAAUGGUCGGGACAGAGGGUCGCCAACCCGCGAGGGGGAGCCAAUCCCAGAAACCCGAUCGUAGGUCCGGAUCGCAGUCUGCACCCUGACUGGUGUAAGUCGAAUCAUGUUAGUAAUCGCGGAUCAGACGUUCGCGGUAAUACGUUCCAGUCUUGUACACACCGCCCGUCACACCAUGGGAGUGGGUUUUACCAGAAGUAGUUAGCCUAACCGUAAGGAGGGCGAUUACCAACAGGCAGGAUUCAUGACUGGGCAAGUCGUAACAAGGUAG
Molecule: ribosomal RNA, 1505 nt
Filed under: uncultured Bordetella sp.
Lineage: Bacteria; Pseudomonadati; Pseudomonadota; Betaproteobacteria; Burkholderiales; Alcaligenaceae
Description: partial 16S-23S ribosomal RNA intergenic spacer
Rfam family: Bacterial small subunit ribosomal RNA
Source: RNAcentral